RNAcentral lists this ribosomal RNA (419 nucleotides) under bacterium. RNAcentral's name for it is "partial 16S ribosomal RNA". It matches the Rfam family "Bacterial small subunit ribosomal RNA", at positions 355 to 776 of the family's 1533-position model. The record is from RNAcentral.
UGGGGGAUAUUGCACAAUGGGCGAAAGCCUGAUGCAGCGACGCCGCGUGGGGGAUGAAGGCCUUCGGGUUGUAAACUUCUUUUGCUCUGAACAAGGCGCACCAUGGGGUGUGUUGAGUGUAGGGGUUGAUUAGCGCCGGCUAACUACGUGCCAGCAGCCGCGGUAAUACGUAGGGCGCGAGCGUUGUCCGGAAGUAUUGGGCGUAAAGGGCUUGUAGGUGGCUGGUUGCGUCUGUCGUGAAAGCUCAUGGCUUAACUGUGGGUUUGCGGUGGGUACGGGCUGGCUUGAGUGCAGUAGGGGAGGCUGGAAUUACUGGUGUAGCGGUGGAAUGCGCAGAUAUCAGGAGGAAUACCGGUGGCGAAGGCGGGUCUCUGGGCUGUUACUGACACUGAGGAGCGAAAGCAUGGGGAGCGAACAGG